GGGGAAGGACUCAAGUGGAUGAAGAGGUGCCCCUGCUAAGGGUAUAGGUCGAACGCGCGGCGCGGGGGUUCAAAUCCCUCCUUCUCCG
RNAcentral lists this transfer RNA (88 nucleotides) under Listeria monocytogenes. Its description in RNAcentral is "tRNA-Ser". It matches the Rfam family "tRNA". Rfam says of the family: Transfer RNA (tRNA) molecules are approximately 80 nucleotides in length. Their secondary structure includes four short double-helical elements and three loops (D, anti-codon, and T loops). Further hydrogen bonds mediate the characteristic L-shaped molecular structure. tRNAs have two regions of fundamental functional importance: the anti-codon, which is responsible for specific mRNA codon recognition, and the 3' end, to which the tRNAs corresponding amino acid is attached (by aminoacyl-tRNA synthetases). tRNAs cope with the degeneracy of the genetic code in two manners: having more than one tRNA (with a specific anti-codon) for a particular amino acid; and 'wobble' base-pairing, i.e. permitting non-standard base-pairing at the 3rd anti-codon position. Lineage: Bacteria; Bacillati; Bacillota; Bacilli; Caryophanales; Listeriaceae. The record is from RNAcentral.